This 253-nucleotide ribosomal RNA is filed under the name uncultured bacterium. RNAcentral's name for it is "partial 16S ribosomal RNA". It matches the Rfam family "Bacterial small subunit ribosomal RNA", at positions 524 to 776 of the family's 1533-position model. The record is from RNAcentral.
UACGUAGGGUGCGAGCGUUGUCCGGAAUUAUUGGGCGUAAAGCGCGUUCAGGCGGUUUGGCAAGUCGGGCAUGAAAUCUCUCGGCUCAACCGGGAGAGGUUGUCCGAUACUUCCAGACUUGAGGGCAGUAGAGGGUGGUGGAAUUCCGGGUGUAGUGGUGAAAUGCGCAGAUAUCAGGAGGAACACCAAUUGCGAAGGCAGCUCGCUGGGACGUUACUGACGCUAAGGCGCGAAAGCGUGGGGAGCGAACAGG